CCCUUAGAUGUUCUGGGCCGCACGCGCGCUACACUGAUACAUGCAACGAGUUUAUAACCUUGAUCUGACGGUCUGGGUAAUCUUCAAACUGUAUCGUGUUAGGGAUCGAUUCUUGCAAUUUUUAAUCGUAAACGAGGAAUUCCUAGUAAACGCAAGUCAUCAGCUUGCAUUGAUUACGUCCCUGCCCUUUGUACACACCGCCCGUCGACCCUACCGAUUGAAUGGUUCGGUGAAAACUUUGGACUGUGGCAUUGUCCUUCAUUGGACUUCGCCGUAGGAAAUUGUUUAAACCUCAUCAUUUAGAGGAAGAAUAAGUCGUAACA
This 323-nucleotide ribosomal RNA is filed under the name uncultured eukaryote. RNAcentral's name for it is "partial 18S ribosomal RNA". It matches the Rfam family "Eukaryotic small subunit ribosomal RNA", at positions 1470 to 1796 of the family's 1831-position model. The record is from RNAcentral.